This 506-nucleotide ribosomal RNA is filed under the name uncultured bacterium. RNAcentral describes it as "partial 16S ribosomal RNA". It matches the Rfam family "Bacterial small subunit ribosomal RNA", at positions 28 to 523 of the family's 1533-position model. The record is from RNAcentral.
GAUGAACGCUAGCUACAGGCUUAACACAUGCAAGUCGAGGGGUAACAAGAGGAAAGCUUGCUUUUCUUGUUGACGACCGGCGCACGGGUGAGUAACGCGUAUCCAACCUGCCUAUAACUAGGGAAUAACCUUGCGAAAGUAAGACUAAUACCCUAUGAUUUCCUUUGAUGACAUCAGAUUAGGAAUAAAGAUUUAUCGGUUAUAGAUGGGGAUGCGUCUGAUUAGCUUGUUGGCGGGGUAACGGCCCACCAAGGCAAUGAUCAGUAGGGGUUCUGAGAGGAAGGUCCCCCACAUUGGAACUGAGACACGGUCCAAACUCCUACGGGAGGCAGCAGUGAGGGAUAUUGGUCAAUGGGCGGAAGCCUGAACCAGCCAAGUAGCGUGCAGGAUGACGGCCCUAUGGGUUGUAAACUGCUUUUAUACAGGAAUAAAGUUAGCCACGUGUGGUUAUUUGUAGGUACUGUAUGAAUAAGGACCGGCUAAUUCCGUGCCAGCAGCCGCAGUAA